GCGGACGUGGCGAAAUUGGCAGACGCGCAGGUUUCAGGUUCCUGUGGGAGACCAUGGGGGUUCAAGUCCCUUCGUCCGCACCA
RNAcentral lists this transfer RNA (83 nucleotides) under Bacillota bacterium. RNAcentral's name for it is "Firmicutes bacterium (gut metagenome) tRNA-Leu". It matches the Rfam family "tRNA". From Rfam's summary of the family: Transfer RNA (tRNA) molecules are approximately 80 nucleotides in length. Their secondary structure includes four short double-helical elements and three loops (D, anti-codon, and T loops). Further hydrogen bonds mediate the characteristic L-shaped molecular structure. tRNAs have two regions of fundamental functional importance: the anti-codon, which is responsible for specific mRNA codon recognition, and the 3' end, to which the tRNAs corresponding amino acid is attached (by aminoacyl-tRNA synthetases). tRNAs cope with the degeneracy of the genetic code in two manners: having more than one tRNA (with a specific anti-codon) for a particular amino acid; and 'wobble' base-pairing, i.e. permitting non-standard base-pairing at the 3rd anti-codon position. RNAcentral also lists the same sequence under 4 other names. Lineage: Bacteria; Bacillati; Bacillota. The record is from RNAcentral.